GUACUGCUGAAGAGUCGCAAACUAGGGCGAAACAGCUGUCCAGUAC
Molecule: non-coding RNA, 46 nt
Organism: Trichobilharzia regenti
Lineage: Eukaryota; Metazoa; Platyhelminthes; Trematoda; Strigeidida; Schistosomatidae
Source: Rfam